CAGUAAUUGCCCACUGGGAACUAUAAAUCAUAGUUCUCACGCCCUCUGUUUUGUGUUUUCUUUCAGAGCCUUCCACGCCGGGAGAGGCUAGGGACCGCGGGAAGGGAGUUGCUUCGAGCUAGCUUCCUUUGAGGACGAUUUGAUAGGUGGUCUACCUCUCGUAGUUUUAUUUUGUGAGAGGUUGUGAGUUGUACCUGUAUUUGUAGAGAGACCACCCUUCUUUUGGAUCCUUGUAUUCCUGUUGAGGAGAUAUUAUUUGUACUACCUUAUUGUUUAGUUAUGCUUUCUCUACUCUUGCUUAGAUGAUAAAACCUUGCUCGCUCUGAUAUCACUAGUUGUUACUGUUAGAUGUAUGCCCUAGAAGCCAACCAGACCGACACAUGUAUUCUUUCUAGGACAUAAUUUUGUAUUUGAUUUUAAAAUAUUAUGAAUAACUUUGGGUUUUUAUUUCCAUUCAUGUUGUGUAUGUGUCCAUGAAUCGUCCAAGGAAUUAAUAAGAUGAUGACAUAUAUUCUUAAGUGUUGAGAAUUUGAGACAUGUGUCAUUGGUGAUUAAUUCCUAAAUGCUCCCGUUCAAUGGAUCAUCACGGGGACGGUGAUUGAUCCGAUGAGAUUGGUGCAUAAGUCGCUUCCCUUUCAGGGUAGACGAGUUUCGAGUCGACAGUGUGGGGACACUGAAGCGAAUAUGCAGGUGGUUGUUAGAGAACAAGGGUACCGAGCGUGACCAACGCGAGAAGUCACUUGGAUGUCUACUCACUCGUCAGUGACUUACUCAAUUGUUGCAGUAGUGUGACUGGUCCUUUGACCUGCGGUGCCUCGGCUAUUCACAAUGAGGUUACUGUAGUUUGACUGUACAUACACUUGGUCCCUAGCCAUUCGGGUCCUUGCGGUGCAUGUUGGCUGCAGUAGGUUCAUUGUAGGAAUAGGGUGCGCACUUAGAUAGAAUCUAUCUCCCUUGGUAGAUAGGGGUGUUAGUCCUAUGUGAUUUAUGAGACCGAGUUUAGAAGACCUUGUCAAGGGCAGAAUAAAUAGCGGAAAAGGGUUUCCGAUAUUAGAAACUCGAGUCGAAUAAAUUUAACAUAUGACAGACGAUGGGGUUUGACGAGUUAUUCCAUAACCUCCGUCAAGUCGGGACUCAUGAUAGAAGGAUUGUAUCACACGGUAACUGCACCAAGAGGUUCAGUAUUCCAUUCUACUGGAAUGCCACUACAUGCUGCUAGGCGUCACUGGUGGAUGGUGAGACUCAUGAGAAUUAUCUUGAUGAUCGAUAAUUCUUAUUGGGCUGAGUUGGAAUUGUUUCGAUCCACUGAAAAGAGUUUCAGUGAUAUUGUUGAUAGUGAUCAAAAUAUAUCUCACUACCAGAUAGAAUAGAACCUAUGGGGUCACACACAUAACAGGUUGUGAUUGAUCGGAUAGCUAGAUCGCGAUUAUUGAAUCGCCGGAGGACCUAAUUGUCAAUAUGUUGAUAAUUGGACUAAUUUGUAAUUGUUACAAAUUAGUGGUAUUAAAGUGUAAAUGUUACUAGAGAGGACUUACU
RNAcentral lists this long non-coding RNA (1536 nucleotides) under Ananas comosus (pineapple). RNAcentral's name for it is "long non-coding RNA (ACOM_LNC036455)". The record is from RNAcentral. Lineage: Eukaryota; Viridiplantae; Streptophyta; Magnoliopsida; Poales; Bromeliaceae.